UAGUUGGUGAGGUAAUGGCUCACCAAGGCAAUGACGCCUAACUGGUUUGAGAGGAUGAUCAGUCACACUGGAACUGAGACACGGUCCAGACUCCUACGGGAGGCAGCAGUGGGGAAUAUUGCACAAUGGAGGAAACUCUGAUGCAGCAACGCCGCGUGGAGGAUGACACUUUUCGGAGCGUAAACUCCUUUUAUAUAGGAAGAUAAUGACGGUACUAUAUGAAUAAGCACCGGCUAACUCCGUGCCAGCAGCCGCGGUAAUACGGAGGGUGCAAGCGUUACUCGGAAUCACUGGGCGUAAAGAGCGUGUAGGCGGGUUAAUAAGUUGGAAGUGAAAUCCUAUAGCUCAACUAUAGAACUGCUUUCAAAACUGUUAACCUAGAAUAUGGGAGAGGUAGAUGGAAUUUCUGGUGUAGGGGUAAAAUCCGUAGAGAUCAGAAGGAAUACCCGAUUGCGAAGGCGAUCUACUGGAACAUUAUUGACGCUGAGACGCGAAAAGCGUGGGGAGCAAACAGGAUUAGAUACCCUGGUAGUCCACGCCCUAAACGAUGUACACUAGUUGUUGCGAUGCUAGACAUUGCAGUAAUGCAGUUAACACAUUAAGUGUACCGCUGGGGAGUACGGUCGCAAGAUUAAAACUCAAAGGAAUAGACGGGGACCCGCACAAGCGGUGGAGCAUGUGGUUUAAUUCGACGAUACGCGAAGAACCUUACCUGGACUUGACAUUUACAGAAUUUUUCAGAGAUGAAUUAGUGUCUGCUUGCAGAAACUGUAGGACAGGUGCUGCACGGCUGUCGUCAGCUCGUGUCGUGAGAUGUUGGGUUAAGUCCCGCAACGAGCGCAACCCACGUCGUUAGUUGCCAACAGUUCGGCUGAGAACUCUAACGAGACUGCCUGGGCAACCAGGAGGAAGGUGUGGACGACGUCAAGUCAUCAUGGCCCUUACGUCCAGGGCUACACACGUGCUACAAUGGGGCAUACAAAGAGCAGCGAUACCGCGAGGUGGAGCAAAUCUCAAAAAUGCCUCCCAGUUCGGAUAGUAGUCUGCAACUCGACUACUUGAAGUUGGAAUCGCUAGUAAUCGUAGAUCAGCAAUGCUACGGUGAAUACGUUCCCGGGUCUUGUACUCACCGCCCGUCACACCAUGGGAGUUGAACUCAUUCGAAGCGGGGAUGCUAAGAUAGCUACCCUCCACAGUGGAUUCAGCGACUGGGGUG
RNAcentral lists this ribosomal RNA (1216 nucleotides) under uncultured bacterium. Its description in RNAcentral is "bacterial SSU rRNA". It matches the Rfam family "Bacterial small subunit ribosomal RNA", at positions 246 to 1482 of the family's 1533-position model. The record is from RNAcentral.